This 72-nucleotide transfer RNA is filed under the name Uromyces viciae-fabae. Its description in RNAcentral is "tRNA-Gln (CTG) (tRNA-Gln-CTG-3-1, tRNA-Gln-CTG-3-2)". It matches the Rfam family "tRNA". Rfam says of the family: Transfer RNA (tRNA) molecules are approximately 80 nucleotides in length. Their secondary structure includes four short double-helical elements and three loops (D, anti-codon, and T loops). Lineage: Eukaryota; Fungi; Basidiomycota; Pucciniomycetes; Pucciniales; Pucciniaceae. The record is from RNAcentral.
GCGUCUGUAGCCUAGUUGGUAAAGGCAGCACUCUGGAUGCUGAGGUCAUGGGUUCGACUCCCAUCAGACACA